UACGGAGGGUGCAAGCGUUGUCCGGAAUCACUGGGCGUAAAGGGCGCGUAGGCGGCUCAUGAAGGCUGUGGUGAAAGUCCGGGGCUCAACCUCGGAUCGGCCGUGGCGACUCGUGGGCUGGAGCACUGUAGAGGCGGGUGGAAUUCCGGGUGUAGCGGUGGAAUGCGUAGAGAUCCGGAAGAACACCCGUGGCGAAGGCGACUUACUGGACACAUAUUGACGCUGAGGUGCGAAAGCGUGGGGAGCAAACAGG
Molecule: ribosomal RNA, 253 nt
Filed under: uncultured bacterium
Lineage: Bacteria
Description: partial 16S ribosomal RNA
Rfam family: Bacterial small subunit ribosomal RNA
Source: RNAcentral